UAGGAUGUAUAGACCCAAAAUCUGGGAAUAAU
Molecule: non-coding RNA, 32 nt
Filed under: Mus musculus (house mouse)
Lineage: Eukaryota; Metazoa; Chordata; Mammalia; Rodentia; Muridae
Source: RNAcentral